This is a long non-coding RNA of Aedes albopictus (Asian tiger mosquito), 1281 nucleotides long. RefSeq lists it as uncharacterized. Lineage: Eukaryota; Metazoa; Arthropoda; Insecta; Diptera; Culicidae. The record is from RefSeq and is a predicted model, not a curated record. The transcript is spliced from 2 exons.
UGUAACCGUUGGUUCCAAUGUUACUUGCUGGCUCCACCAUCAAUCCCAUUUUCCUCCCGAAAACAAUAGACCCUUUCCAUAACUUUAACUAGGAACUGUCCAAACUCACUGGUUGAUGAGUCACGAGUGAGGAGCGUUCCACUUUCAACUCAUACCAGGUCUCAAAAGCGUAUAUACCGGGGUAGUGUGAACAAGACCUAAAAAGAAACCCUAGGCAAAUUCAAGUACCAAUCCACAGAUGGCGCAUAGGUGAAACAUGGUUGCCAAAACACAACAUAAAACAUAGAUGUCAAAUCCAACCUCAGAGAAAGUGGAUUUCUUAUAAAAGGCUGGAUUUGACCAGAAUUUCCCUCUUUGUCCACAACUGAUUCCCAAAUAGUGUAGUGCGCGUAUUGUGUUAAUUCUAAUGGUCAGAACAAUAGACCACCGCAUGGUGAAACUUAUAUUAACUUUUGGUUUCUUUUCUUAAAUAAAAUAGGGUAAAACUUAAAAUACGGUUGUAAACGUUAAAAAAAAACUGUGUUAGUAAAAUGUGUUAGUGUUAAAAUGCUAUGAAACAGUUAGACAAAUAACAUCGAAAGAACAGAACACUAAAACAGGUUAAAACGCAAGAAAAAGGUAAAUUAUCAUUGUAAAGCUAUACUAAAAAUGUGUGAAUGCUAGAAACGACGUCACAAGGUGAUUAAUGUGGUGUGGUCAGGUCCAACGAAAAGGACCUUUUUCUUUUUGUGUAUUUUUGCAAGGCUCAAGGUGCAGCAGACGGAUCUUCCGUCAGCCCUGACAUCGCCGAUUUCCAGUGCCUAGCGGCGGCGCACCUUGGCGCAGCAACCGCCAUGUUGAAACCUCUGCCGACGUCAGAAGCCCGCCAUUUGUCGAAAAACUGCUAAUGUCAUCCAUUUGGCAGUUGGGAACCCUUCUUUGCGUCCGUUGGCAACCCGCUGGAGUUUCAUCUGGUCCGGCAAACCGCUGGCGAUUUAUUACAAGGCUUCUCAGCUACCAGUGACGCCCCCCCCUUUUCUCAAAGAUGGGCCACCACCGUCUGGCCCGAAUCCGCCGUGAGAUCAUCAUACCAAGAAUCACCAUGCCGGCAAAGGACGGAAAGAGGCACCCGGCGUACCUAACCUCAAUUCUUCUACCGUCAAAGGCUGGUAAGAGACCGCAACGUACCUGCCCAGACAUCCCGAUGAUCCGGAUCACAAUCAAAAGCAUGCAGAAUUCCGCAAGUAUUAUCACCCUAAUGUGACGUCAUAGGCUAGAAUAAACUGUUAUUUGUAAAAUGAA